CCCCUAGAUGUUCUGGGCCGCACGCGCGCUACACUGAACAGUUCAACAAGUCUUAACCUUGGCCGAUAGGUCUGGGUAAUCUUUGAACGCUGUUCGUGAUUGGGAUAGACCUUUGCAAUUAUGGGUCUUCAACGAGGAAUUCCUAGUAAACGCAAGUCAUCAGCUUGCAUUGAUUACGUCCCUGCCCUUUGUACACACCGCCCGUCGCUCCUACCGAUUGAGUGUUCCGGUGAAUAAUUCGGACUGCAGUAGCGUGAGGACUCCUCACCUGCAGCGGAAAGUUUGGUGAACCUUAACACUUAGAGGAAGGAGAAGUCGUAACA
RNAcentral lists this ribosomal RNA (323 nucleotides) under uncultured eukaryote. RNAcentral describes it as "partial 18S ribosomal RNA". It matches the Rfam family "Eukaryotic small subunit ribosomal RNA", at positions 1470 to 1796 of the family's 1831-position model. The record is from RNAcentral.